CGAGAGUGACAACAGAUCCUCUGUACUGCUUUCGAAAUCAAGGAGAGGAGAACCGUUGAGACCGAAGCGCCGACGAGACAGAAGCCCUGGCGAGUGAGAAGCGACGUCACGAGAGAAUCGCCGUGGAGAGAGAUCCACCGUCGAGAGAGAAUCGCACUGUCAAUCGCCUUCUCAAUCGCCCUCGCGAGAUAACCGACACACACAAACUGAAAGACAGACUCAAUUCUAUUUUGCCCUAAAAAUCAUCGGCCAUUCCCAAC
This 260-nucleotide long non-coding RNA is filed under the name Brassica napus (rape). RNAcentral's name for it is "long non-coding RNA (BNAP_LNC010594)". Lineage: Eukaryota; Viridiplantae; Streptophyta; Magnoliopsida; Brassicales; Brassicaceae. The record is from RNAcentral.